This is a non-coding RNA of Rhamnusium bicolor, 74 nucleotides long. Lineage: Eukaryota; Metazoa; Arthropoda; Insecta; Coleoptera; Cerambycidae. The record is from the annotation of a GenBank genome assembly.
GGUUUCAUAGUCGAGUGGUAAUGACGUUUGUCUCUCAUUCUGGAAUCCUGGGUUCUAUCCCAGGUCGAGGACCU